This 107-nucleotide small RNA is filed under the name Marmota monax (woodchuck). The record is from RNAcentral. Lineage: Eukaryota; Metazoa; Chordata; Mammalia; Rodentia; Sciuridae.
GCUGGGCGUGGCGGCUCAUACCUGUAAUCUCAGCUGUUCAGGAGGCUGAGGCAAGAGGAUCACAAGCUCAAGGCCAGCCUUAAAAACUUAAUGAGAUCCUGUCUCAA